UACGGAAGGCAGCAGUGGGGAAUAUUGCACAAUGGGCGAAAGCCUGAUGCAGCUAUGCCGCGUGUAUGAAGAAGGCCUUAGGGUUGUAAAGUACUUUCAUCGGGGAGGAAAAACAAAACUAAUAAUUUUAUUUCUUGACGUUACCCGAAAAAGAAGCACCGGCUAACUCCGUGCCAGCAGCCGCGGUAAUACGGAGGGUGCUAGCGUUAAUCAGAAUUACUGGGCGUAAAGAGCACGUAGGUGGUUUUUUUAAGUCAGAUGUGAAAUCCCUGGGCUUAACCUAGGAACUGCAUUUUGAAACUGAAAUACUAGAGUAUCGUAGAGGGAGGUAGAAUUCUAGGUGUAGCGGUGAAAUGCGUAGAUAUCUGGAGGAAUACUUGUGGCGAAAGCGGCCUCCUAAACGAAUACUGACACUGAGGUGCGAAAGCGUGGGGAGCAAACAGGGAUUAGAUACC
This 455-nucleotide ribosomal RNA is filed under the name uncultured bacterium. RNAcentral's name for it is "bacterial SSU rRNA". It matches the Rfam family "Bacterial small subunit ribosomal RNA", at positions 340 to 786 of the family's 1533-position model. The record is from RNAcentral.